GUUGCCCAGGAUGGUCUUGAACUCCUGGCCUCAAGUGAUCCUCCCCUCUUGGCCUCCCAAAGUAUUGGAAUUACAGGCAUGAACCACCUCACCUAGCCCUGCAAUUUUAUUUUUAUUUUCUAAACUGUUGCUGCUCUCCUUAACCCCUACUGACUACCUUUUGCUAUUGAAUUUGCUAUGUGAAAAACCAUUUUAUGUUUUAGAAAUUGGGCCUUUGUCUUACAGUUACUCUCUAAUUCUGGUCUUGAGAAAAAUUUUCAGUUUUACAGGAUGUGAUUGAAAUUACUCUAAUUCACAGGGCAAUUUUAUCUGGAUGGUGGCACUUUAGAAUGCAAGUUUCUCAAUCUCCGUUUAUCUUUUGGUUUGAGGAUAGUGUUUAAGACUAUUAGGAUCACUUGAUUAGUAUCUCUGGGCUUUUGAAAAUAAUUACACAGUGUUAAUGUUUUUAAAAAUUGUUCUAAUGGGUAGGUACAGCGGAGAGCACCAUAAAUGAUUAAAGGUUUAGGAAAGCUCAAGGUCUAGAAUUAUUUAGGCAUAUUAAAGAGAAGGCUGAAAGUAAAAUUCAGUCACUGUUUAUGAAGUCUGUGCUAUAAUGUGACUUUACUAUUCUGGAGAUUUUUUAAUUAAUCAAGAUCUAUUUUACCUGGAGAACGCUGUUUUGAACAGGAAUGGAAUUAGAAUCUUUCUUGAGCUCUGACAUAGUCCUCAGUUCGAAGAAUAGAAUUAACAUUUCCUAGCUGGGUAAGGUACAAAAUCAAAGCUCCACUUCCCCACUGUGAAAUAGGUAUGCUAAUAAUAGUACCCACCUCUUAGGACUAACUGGAAUAAGGCACAUGAAUCUUUCUAGCACAGUGCCUGGCACAUAAUAAGCAUGCAAAAUUUAGCUCUUUCUAAAGAUACAUUUUCUAAAUUAAAUGUCAGUGAUCAACUACAUUUUCUGUGUGUUAAUGUGUAGUUGGGUUACUAAAAUUGUUAGAUUUUCUUAUCAAGAGACCUACUUGUCAUGGAAGUAUACCUCCAUUAAGCAAGCAUGGUAUAAAAAGAAGCCCUGUCUUAUUUAGUACUUAACCAAGUAACCUUUGUGUAUGUAUUUAUUUAUUUUUUCGAGAGAGGUUCUCCCUCUAUCAGCUGGGAGUGCAGUGGUGCAAUCACAGCUCACUGCACAACCUCAGCCUCUCUAGUAGCUGGGACCACAGGCACACACCUCCACACCUAGCUAAUUUUUAAAUUAUUUGUAGAGACUAGAUCCCACUAGUUGCCAGGGCUGCUCUUGAACUCCUGGCCUCAAGUGAUACUCCCACCUCAGCCUCCCAAACUGCUAGGAUUAUAGGCAUGAGCCACCACGCCUGGCCCAAAUAACCUUUUAAAGUUGAGCUUUAUUAAAGCAUAAAGCUGAAUAUAAAGUUGGCUGAUAAAAAUUUUGACAUGAUGCUAAAUAAAUGUAGCAUCUUAACAGUGUUUGCCGUUCUAAACUUGUGUAUGUUUUUUCCUCUGGGUCAAUCAUCUAAAUCUUAAAUUGGGAGUCAUUAAUAUCCAGAUUAGAAGCUGAGAAAUUUUAAAAUCUUAGACUUAUUUUUAGGAAUUAUAAAUAUGUAUUAUUGAAGGGCUAAAAUAUUAAUAGUAUUUUAAAGAAUCAGGGGGUCAGGU
Molecule: long non-coding RNA, 1647 nt
Organism: Sapajus apella (tufted capuchin)
Lineage: Eukaryota; Metazoa; Chordata; Mammalia; Primates; Cebidae
Exons: 3
Source: RefSeq, a predicted model, not a curated record